RNAcentral lists this unclassified non-coding RNA (157 nucleotides) under Bacillus thuringiensis. The record is from RNAcentral. Lineage: Bacteria; Bacillati; Bacillota; Bacilli; Caryophanales; Bacillaceae.
UAUGGAGAAUUGAUGAACGCUGUUCAUCAAUAAAGUUUCCGUGUUUCGUUUUGUUCAGUUUUGAGAGAACUAUCUCUCAUAUAUAAAUGUAUGUUCUUUGAAAACUAGAUAACAGUGUAGCUCAUAUUUUUUAAUUUUUAGUUUGGUUAAGUUAGAA